GGGAGCUUGUGUGACAUUCGCUGCUAACGAACAUGUUGGGGUUGUGAUAGACCCGGUUCCUU
This 62-nucleotide transfer RNA is filed under the name Tanaisia sp. SS-2020. RNAcentral's name for it is "tRNA-Ser". The record is from RNAcentral. Lineage: Eukaryota; Metazoa; Platyhelminthes; Trematoda; Plagiorchiida; Eucotylidae.